AUAAUGUUGAACAUAGACUUUUGUAUAGACUCGCAGCCAGCUAAUUCUAUCCAGAUUGACGAGAGCUUUUUUAAAUGAGCUAUUGUGUUUUGCCAAGGAUCACUUCACAGAUCACGGAGGGAAAUUUUGGAAACAAUCAAAAAUUACAGAACAAGAUACAGGUCUAUAUACCGGUGAGUAGCUCUAGCGGCGUUGCGCAUGCGCUCCGGGGGUUGAGAGGAGAGAGAGGAGCUGGGCGCGGGCGAGCCGGACGGGCGACCUUCAACUAAGC
Crotalus tigris (Tiger rattlesnake) is the source of this 271-nucleotide long non-coding RNA. RefSeq lists it as uncharacterized. The transcript has 3 exons. The record is from RefSeq and is a predicted model, not a curated record. NCBI's taxonomy places the organism in Eukaryota, Metazoa, Chordata, Lepidosauria, Squamata, Viperidae.